RNAcentral lists this long non-coding RNA (921 nucleotides) under Salmo salar (Atlantic salmon). Its description in RNAcentral is "lncRNA (ENSSSAG00000118340.1)". Lineage: Eukaryota; Metazoa; Chordata; Actinopteri; Salmoniformes; Salmonidae. The record is from RNAcentral.
GUGCGAGCGUGCGUGUGUGAGCGUGGGUGUGUACGUGCGUGUACGUGCAUGUUUCAAUGGAAGGGAGUGUUUUGGGCAUUACUCUUCUCCCUAUCGAUGGAGAAACACAGAAGAAGAGAAAGGAGGAUGAAGGGUAACAUGAGGAGGAUGAAGGGGAACAUGAGGAGGAUGAAGGUAACAUGAGGAGGAUGAAGGUAACAUGAGGAGGAUGAAGGGUAACAUGAGGAGGAUGAAGGUAACAUGAGGAGGAUGAAGGGUAACAUGAGGAGGAUGAAGGGGAACAUGAGGAGGAUGAAGGGGAACAUGAGGAGGAUGAAGGGUAACAUGAGGAGGAUGAAGGAUAACAUGAGGAGGAUGAAGGUAACAUGAGGAGGAUGAAGGUAACAUGAGGAGGAUGAAGGUAACAUGAGGAGGAUGAAGGGGAACAUGAGGAGGAUGAAGGUAACAUGAGGAGGAUGAAGGUAACAUGAGGAGGAUGAAGGUAACAUGAGGAGGAUGAAGGGUAACAUGAGGAGGAUGAAGGAUAACAUGAGGAGGAUGAAGGGGGACAUGAGGAGGAUGAAGGUAACAUGAGGAGGAUGAAGGGGAACUUGAGGAGGAUGAAGGUAACAUGAGGAGGAUGAAGGUAACAUGAGGAGGAUGAAGGGGAACAUGAGGAGGAUGAAGGUAACAUGAGGAGGAUGAAGGGUAACAUGAGGAGGAUGAAGGGUAACAUGAGGAGGAUGAAGGUAACAUGAGGAGGAUGAAGGUAACAUGAGGAGGAUGAAGGGGAACAUGAGGAGGAUGAAGGUAACAUGAGGAGGAUGAAGGGUAACAUGAGGAGGAUGAAGGAUAACAUGAGGAGGAUGAAGGGGGACAUGAGGAGGAUGAAGGUAACAUGAGGAGGAUGAAGGGGAACUUGAGGAGGAUGAAGGUAACAUG